Molecule: long non-coding RNA, 633 nt
Filed under: Nicotiana benthamiana
Lineage: Eukaryota; Viridiplantae; Streptophyta; Magnoliopsida; Solanales; Solanaceae
Description: long non-coding RNA (NBEN_LNC015872)
Source: RNAcentral
AAAGAUGUGUUUGUGCUGCCAAAAAUGGCAUAAUACAGGAAGAUGAUGAGAAUAAGGUGUUUCAGUUUCUAAUGGGCCUUAAUGAAGCAUACAUGGGGAUAAGGAGUAACCUACUGAUGAUGCAGCCCCCUCCAACCCUUGACAAUGUCUACAAUAUGGUCCUCAAUGAUGAGAAACAAAGACAAGUCCAGUCCCCUUCUCAUUUUAAUCCAGACUCUAUGGACAUUCAGUUGGAUUCAAUAAGGUCCCAGUGCAUAAUCCUUCUCCUUUCAGACAAAGAGUUAAUUUUGACCAAGCUAGAGGCUCUUUAUUCUGUAGAUACUGCAAAAAAUCUGGGCACUUAAUUGAUAAGUGUUUCAAGAUUGAUGGGUAUCCACAAAGUACAACAUUUAACAAGGGGAGGAGACCUGCUGCUGCUCAUCUAACUGCUGGGGUGGAUUUCCCUUCUGCUGAAGGAAAUGUGUCUGUUCCUCAAGGAAAUCCUCCUGAAAGCCAUCACCAUGUUACAAACAUAGAUGGCCAGAGUUCUGUGAUACCAGGGUUGAGCAGACAACACUAUGACCAAUUGAUGAGCUUGUUACAACAGACUCAGUUAGGGGAUUCCACUGCUCAGACUCCUCCUCCCAUGUAUGC